UCCGGCUUUUCGCCGACAGUCUCCGUAGAGUGCCCAGCUUUACCUGAUGGCAACUACAGACAAGGGUUGCGCUCGUUGCGGGACUUAACCCAACAUCUCACGACACGAGCUGACGACAGCCAUGCAGCACCUCUACCGUUGUCCCGAAGGAACCCUACAUCUCUGCAGGUUGCAACGGCAGUUCAAACCCCGGUAAGGUUCUUCGCGUUGCGUCGAAUUAAACCACAUGCUCCACCGCUUGUGCGGGCCCCCGUCAAUUCCUUUGAGUUUCAGCCUUGCGGCCGUACUCCCCAGGCGGAACACUUAAUGAGUUUUCGCCGGCACGGAAAGCUUUCUCACUUCCCACACCCAGUGUUCAUCGUUUACAGCCAGGACUAC
Molecule: unclassified non-coding RNA, 378 nt
Filed under: uncultured Acidobacteriota bacterium
Lineage: Bacteria; Pseudomonadati; Acidobacteriota
Description: uncultured Acidobacteria bacterium contains 16S-23S intergenic spacer region
Source: RNAcentral